This 68-nucleotide transfer RNA is filed under the name Proechimys steerei (Steere's spiny-rat). RNAcentral's name for it is "tRNA-Val". It matches the Rfam family "tRNA". From Rfam's summary of the family: Transfer RNA (tRNA) molecules are approximately 80 nucleotides in length. Lineage: Eukaryota; Metazoa; Chordata; Mammalia; Rodentia; Echimyidae. The record is from RNAcentral.
CAAAGUAUAGCUUAAAUAAAAGCACCCGGCUUACACCCGGAAGAUCUCAAAUAAACUGAUUGCUUUGA